Molecule: long non-coding RNA, 461 nt
Filed under: Cricetulus griseus (Chinese hamster)
Lineage: Eukaryota; Metazoa; Chordata; Mammalia; Rodentia; Cricetidae
Description: lncRNA (ENSCGRG00000025340.1)
Source: RNAcentral
GCCAAGCGUUUGUGUUGGUGUCUUUUCAGCUCUCCUGAGGCGUGCCACUGCGUACAAACAUCAAAACAAGCUCCAGGAAGCUGCGGAAGACCUGAAGGUAGUGCUGAGCGUGGAGCCUCAUAACGACGUGGCCAGGAAAAUCCUGUCAGAGAUUGAAAGCGAUCUGAAGAAACCAGAGUCCGCCGCUGAGCCCCAAGGGAAAAGGAUGGUUAUUGAGGAAGUGGAGAGCUCGGGGGAUGAAGGUGAAAAGCAAAGCAGAGAUAAACCUGAAGACGGUGGUGGAGACACAGGUGAGACGUCUCUUCUUUCUGGUUAUUGCGAACUGCUGUUUCCAUCACGAGGCUGCUUGAGGAAACUGCUGGUUUCCCGAACUUUGCUCUAGCUUUACCUUAAAGUCUCCGGUCAAGUUCAGCCCUGCUUUUCUUUUUAAAUUUAUUUUACAAUCGUGUUUUACAUGCCGG